GAUAAAAUGGCUGAAAUAGUGGUUGAUUGUAAAUCAUCUUAUGGGGUUUUUCUCCUUUUAUCA
Molecule: transfer RNA, 63 nt
Filed under: Zhengitettix curvispinus
Lineage: Eukaryota; Metazoa; Arthropoda; Insecta; Orthoptera; Tetrigidae
Description: tRNA-Tyr
Rfam family: tRNA
About the family: Transfer RNA (tRNA) molecules are approximately 80 nucleotides in length. Their secondary structure includes four short double-helical elements and three loops (D, anti-codon, and T loops).
Source: RNAcentral